Molecule: transfer RNA, 74 nt
Filed under: Fimbriiglobus ruber
Lineage: Bacteria; Pseudomonadati; Planctomycetota; Planctomycetia; Gemmatales; Gemmataceae
Rfam family: tRNA
About the family: Transfer RNA (tRNA) molecules are approximately 80 nucleotides in length. Their secondary structure includes four short double-helical elements and three loops (D, anti-codon, and T loops).
Source: Rfam by way of RNAcentral
GCCCCUGUAGCUCAACUGGAUAGAGCACGUGCCUUCUAAGCAUGAGGUUGCGAGUUCGAGCCUCGCCGGGGGUA